CUACGGGGUGCACCAGUGAGGAAUAUUGCACAAUGGGGGGAACCCUGAUGCAGCAACGCCGCGUGGAGGAUGACGCAUUUCGGUGUGUAAACUCCUUUUAUAUGUCAAGAAAAUGACGGUAGCAUAUGAAUAAGCACCGGCUAACUCCGUGCCAGCAGCCGCGGUAAUACGGAGGGUGCAAGCGUUACUCGGAAUCACUGGGCGUAAAGGACGCGUAGGCGGGUUGGAAAGUCAGGUGUGAAAUCCUACAGCUUAACUGUAGAACUGCACUUGAAACUUCUAAUCUAGAGUAUGGGAGGGGGAGAUGGAAUUAGUGGUGUAGGGGUAAAAUCCGUAGAUAUCACUAGGAAUACCUAAAGCGAAGGCGAUCUCCUGGAACAUUACUGACGCUAAGGCGUGAAAGCGUGGGGAGCAAACAGGAUUAGAUACCCGUGUAGUC
This 439-nucleotide ribosomal RNA is filed under the name uncultured bacterium. Its description in RNAcentral is "partial 16S ribosomal RNA". It matches the Rfam family "Bacterial small subunit ribosomal RNA", at positions 339 to 795 of the family's 1533-position model. The record is from RNAcentral.